This 325-nucleotide long non-coding RNA is filed under the name Theobroma cacao (cacao). RNAcentral's name for it is "long non-coding RNA (TCAC_LNC000367)". The record is from RNAcentral. Lineage: Eukaryota; Viridiplantae; Streptophyta; Magnoliopsida; Malvales; Malvaceae.
UGGGUGAUGGGAGAAAAUGAAUUUUUCUUCUUGGCUUUUCAUGCUACACAUCAUUAACUAACUAAAGACACUAAAAUACAUUGAAAUCUAACCAAAUCAAGCAUCAAAACCUCCCUCUAAGUGUUUGGCCAGCAAGAGACCCAUCAUGAAAUCAUGUGAUUCAACCAUGGAAAAUGAAAAAGAAUGUAUGGGAAAGGUAGAUCACAGGUCAAAAUGAAGAAAUUUUACCUUUGAUUUCUUGAUUACUUGACAUCCACCAAUUUUCUCUUGAAUUUUCACUCUAGGGUUUUUGUUCUUCCUUUUCUUCCUUUGUUCUUGCUUUGGC